ACCAUGCAGUCGAGCGGUAACAGGUCCAGCUUGCUGGAUGCUGACGAGCGGCGGACGGGUGAGUAACGCAUAGGAAUCUACCCGGUAGUGGGGGAUAACCUGGGGAAACCCAGGCUAAUACCGCAUACGUCCUACGGGAGAAAGGGGGCUUAGGCUCCCGCUAUUGGAUGAGCCUAUGCCGGAUUAGCUGGUUGGUGAGGUAAUGGCUCACCAAGGCGACGAUCCGUAGCUGGUCUGAGAGGAUGAUCAGCCACAUCGGGACUGAGACACGGCCCGAACUCCUACGGGAGGCAGCAGUGGGGAAUAUUGGACAAUGGGGGCAACCCUGAUCCAGCCAUGCCGCGUGUGUGAAGAAGGCCCUCGGGUUGUAAAGCACUUUCAGCGAGGAAGAACGCCUGUCGGUUAAUACCCGGCAGGAAAGACAUCACUCGCAGAAGAAGCACCGGCUAACUCCGUGCCAGCAGCCGCGGUAAUACGGAGGGUGCAAGCGUUAAUCGGAAUUACUGGGCGUAAAGCGCGCGUAGGUGGCUUGAUAAGCCGGUUGUGAAAGCCCCGGGCUCAACCUGGGAACGGCAUCCGGAACUAUUAGGCUAGAGUGCAGGAGAGGAAGGUAGAAUUCCCGGUGUAGCGGUGAAAUGCGUAGAGAUCGGGAGGAAUACCAGUGGCGAAGGCGGCCUUCUGGACUGACACUGACACUGAGGUGCGAAAGCGUGGGUAGCAAACAGGAUUAGAUACCCUGGUAGUCCACGCCGUAAACGAUGUCGACCAGCCGUUGGGUGCCUAGCGCACUUUGUGGCGAA
RNAcentral lists this ribosomal RNA (800 nucleotides) under Halomonas sp. Its description in RNAcentral is "bacterial SSU rRNA". It matches the Rfam family "Bacterial small subunit ribosomal RNA", at positions 53 to 850 of the family's 1533-position model. Lineage: Bacteria; Pseudomonadati; Pseudomonadota; Gammaproteobacteria; Oceanospirillales; Halomonadaceae. The record is from RNAcentral.